UUGAACGCUGGCGGCAUGCCUUACACAUGCAAGUCGAACGGCAUCACGGGAGCAAUCCUGGUGGCGAGUGGCGAACGGGUGAGUAAUGUAUCGGAACGUACCUUUCAGUGGGGGAUAACGUAGCGAAAGUUACGCUAAUACCGCAUAUUCUGUGAGCAGGAAAGCAGGGGAUCGCAAGACCUUGCGCUGAUUGAGCGGCCGAUAUCAGAUUAGCUAGUUGGUGAGGUAAAGGCUCACCAAGGCGACGAUCUGUAGCGGGUCUGAGAGGAUGAUCCGCCACACUGGAACUGAGACACGGUCCAGACUCCUACGGGAGGCAGCAGUGGGGAAUUUUGGACAAUGGGCGCAAGCCUGAUCCAGCCAUGCCGCGUGAGUGAAGAAGGCCUUCGGGUUGUAAAGCUCUUUCAGACGGAAAGAAAUCGGGCGCGUGAAUAGCGUGCCUGGAUGACGGUACUGUCAGAAGAAGCACCGGCUAACUACGU
RNAcentral lists this ribosomal RNA (482 nucleotides) under uncultured bacterium. RNAcentral describes it as "bacterial SSU rRNA". It matches the Rfam family "Bacterial small subunit ribosomal RNA", at positions 30 to 506 of the family's 1533-position model. The record is from RNAcentral.